Chiloscyllium plagiosum (whitespotted bambooshark) is the source of this 3430-nucleotide long non-coding RNA. RefSeq lists it as uncharacterized. The record is from RefSeq and is a predicted model, not a curated record. NCBI's taxonomy places the organism in Eukaryota, Metazoa, Chordata, Chondrichthyes, Orectolobiformes, Hemiscylliidae.
GCAUCUCCCCAUCUGAUACAUCACCGGACACUUUCUGAGCCUAAGGAUCGUCUCACAAUGAGAACACUUGAAAGUUACAGGGAACCUUUUCUGAAUCGACGGAAUUUUGGAAUUUUAACAUCAACCGAUCAACUUGCUUUUUUUAAAUCAACCUCUUUUAAAAUUCUUCUCUGUGAAAUUGGAACAUAGUAGAAUUCUAAAGGACCUGAAAAAUCGGGGGAUCACUCUCCAGGAACGUCUCUCACACCGGGUGAGAGAAUCUGAAUGGUUCCAGCAUUUUGGACAAAGAGAACUUUGGUUAAUUCGAUGAAACUGAAGCAAUGAUGGAAGAACUCUCACUCUUUACAGUCUAAUCUUUCAAACAACAUAGAAAAGGAGAAAUACAGGAAGUGAGAAUAUACCAGAACUCGAUUAUUAAUGCCUGAAUGAACAAACCCUAUUGAUAAGCUCAUUUCUAUGGUCGUAAAUUGAUAAAGGCAACAAUAUCAUCAUCAAUGUGUCCAACAAUGAGGCAACUCUCUCGAUAAGGACACUGCCUGUGAUCUGUCUCAAAGUAUUUUCAUUCAGUAGCAGUCAGCUGACUGCGUACUGAUCUCAUAAGUGCAACGGGGCACAUAAGGAAUGAAAGUGAGAGCAAACUGACACACAACAGCAGGAUGUUGAGACUGGGGGAGUAGAAAGAACUUAUUAAUAUUUCCAUCUCCACUUUUACAAAUAGGAGAACGAGGAUGCAACUAAUCAGUGUCUGGUUUGUUUGGCGACUAUUUAUGACUGGUAAUUCUGGACAAAACACAUUACAACCUGAGCAGUGUCUCAGGUUAAAUUUUGAACACAAGUCCACAUGAUAUUUCCUCAUUAGACAUUUUCAUAUUCGAGCCACGGGACUUCUGUCACUCAGCCACUUUCAUCAGAAGUUAAGAGAACAGAUGCUAACUUUAUGCUGUACCAACAAAGCUGCAUGGAAUUGUUAUUACUUCCUAUGGUAUCACCAAAAACCAAACACACAGCCUGAGCUCGUUCUCUUAUGAAUACUCCAACGAUGGUGCACAAAGCAGAAUUUUCUAAAAUCCUUUUCACUGCUGAGCUCCAGACCUUGAGAAAAUUCAGCAGUUUAAUGAUCUCAGAUCUGCAGCGAAAAGAAAAGAGAGAGAGAAAAAAGAAAGAAAGAACGAAAGAAAGAAAGAAAGAAAGAGAAAGAACAUGCCUAUUGUAAUGCAAGACAACUGGCACCAACUGUGCACAGAAGAAUAUUCCAGUAAUCCAGAACAGUAAUUACAAAAUGAGCAGAAACCAUAUUUAUUUUUUCACUAUUAACAUCGAAACAUGCGUAAUACUAGAAACAAUAGAAUAUGUCUGUUCAAGUCUGCUCUGCCAUUCAUUUUGAUAAUGGUUGAUUAUUAUACCCAGUGCCCUGUUCCCGCUUUCUACGUGAAGACUAAAUAUUGACACAGGACUAUGAAGAUAACUUGUCUUGUUAUUUCAUGAAAUGAAGCCGAGAUGUAUUUGAUGUUCAAUUAAGAAGGUAAACACAAAUUUCAACCAGAGAGGCAUAAACUCUGAUCAUUCAGAAUUUGUUCAGCAUUUUUUAUUAAGGGACCUGACGCAUCUUGACUUUUUAUCUUGUAUUUCUUUACUUUCGCAUUUUGAGUCUAGUACUUAUUCCUUGUAAAUUGAAAGUAUUAUAUUCUCGGGCGCACUGGUGCUAAAUGGCAUCAGUAUGGUAUUGAGCUGUGUUCUUUUUUACCAUUUGAAGCAUUCAGUAGAGAUGUGUAAGGACACAUUAACAUUCUUUUCAGCUCCUUUUGGAACUUGUUCUGGGUUGCCGCAGAGAUGAAGACAUUGUUGCAGGAACUGAUUACCUGGAGCUUGUUGGGUGUUUCUUGAAGAAUGUUCUGCGGGUCUUUGAAUUUCAAGCUGCUGGCGUAAUGCUCAUUAGUAAUCAAUCGGUAGAGGAAGCGACCCAUACAGUUGGCCAACAGGGGGAGGAAGCUGAGAGAGAUGGCGAAGAGCAGGACGAUGGAUCUCUUGCGGGUCACCAUCUCUGGAUCUUUACCAUUCUCACUGCCCCUGAGUCUCUUGCGUGCUCUGCCAGCUAAUAUGAUGCGUCUGCCCGUCAGGGCAUUGAGCAGAGGAAUGAGGAGGAAUGGGAGAAAGGGGGUUAAGAUUCGUUCGAGCCAGUCUAACACCCGCCAGGCAGGCAAAAUGUGGAAAGUGAGUGUGAUAUCACAGAAGCAUGGCAUCCCGUCGAGGAUAUACAUAGACUGGGUGUAAAUGAAGUAGAAAGGGGCGUUCUUGAAAUAGCUCAGGGAAAAGGUCACUGCUAAGACCAGCGAUGCAAUUUUCUUAGUACAAUAUCUGGCCUUCAAGCUCUGGAGACAAAUGUUCACAAACCUUCACAAUUGUGAAGGCCGCUAUUGGACAGGAAGAGAAUUCCCAGGUUGUGUACAUCAGCACAGUAUUGAGACUGUAGCCAGGGGUAGCGAAAAGGAUACUAUAGCAUUAAUAAACACAGUUAAGUAUUGCAUUUGCCAUGAUGACAAGCAAAUCGCUCAACACUAUGGCCACCAGAUAGUAAGAAAUGCACAGAACACAUCUGCACCAGUCUCGGGAGGUAGUCAUAAUUGCCACCAGUUUGGCUGUGAAGGUACCAAGAGAGGAGUAUAUAACCAAGUGAACUGGGACUAUACCGAUGCCUUGCUAUCCAACCCAGGCACAUUUUACCACUUGCUCCUUCAGCCAUUAUUCAUACUAAGUCUCAUGCGUUCAGGAACUCUAUACUUACUGAGCAACAUUGGCUUUCAAUCCAGCAACGUCAGGGUUAUAAUAAUCUCAUGCAUCACCAUUUUAAAGUAUUGUUGCAGUCUUCCCACUAUCGUCCGUAAAAUUCUACAGCCACCUGAGAUCACUGUUCCUAUAAUUCUGGCCUGACACCAAGCCUUAUUUCGGUAGCAGCUGUGAACAUAAAUGUAGAGAUUUACAUCUCCGUUAUUUACUCCCUCAACUACUGUCGCCCUCCAUUCUAUUUCAGGACAUGAUUUAGAAUAUCUCUUGGAUCAAGGAUCUGGGUGUCAACAUUAAUAUCACCUUCUGUACUUUAUAGUCAACUUUAUUUGUGAUACAUGAUAAGCAGCAACCACACCAAACAUAAUGCGAGAGCUGAAGAUAGAAGCAAACUCUAUUCUGAAGUUUAAAUUAACGAUGCUCUCCUUGCCAGCACUAGCAACAGGCCCACUAAGGAAGGAAAAGCUGAAUUAUCCAAAGUAAAAGCAAAACUUACAACAACUGUCAAGACAAACCGAAAGUAUAAUCCGUAAAAAUUAUUGUAUUUCGGCACACGUUUCAAAUGUCUCCAUAAUUAACUUCGAUGACCACAUUAACAUGUUAACCAUACAUGAAAUAUGCUGCUGAUAUUAUUCUUAACAAGAAAUAU